GACGAACGCUGGCGGCGUGCCUAAUACAUGCAAGUUGAGCGCUGAAGGUUGGUACUUGUACCAACUGGAUGAGCAGCGAACGGGUGAGUAACGCGUGGGGAAUCUGCCUUUGAGCGGGGGACAACAUUUGGAAACGAAUGCUAAUACCGCAUAAAAACUUUAAACACAAGUUUUAAGUUUGAAAGAUGCAAUUGCAUCACUCAAAGAUGAUCCCGCGUUGUAUUAGCUAGUUGGUGAGGUAAAGGCUCACCAAGGCGAAGAUACAUAGCCGACCUGAGAGGGUGAUCGGCCACAUUGGGACUGGGACACGGCCCAAACUCCUAAGGGAGGCAGCAGGAGGGAAUCUUCGGCAAUGGACGAAAGUCUGACCGAGCCACGCCGCGUGAGGGAAGAAGGUUUUCGGAUCGUAAAACUCUGUUGGUAGAGAAGAACGUUGGUGGGAGUGGAAAGCGCAUCAAGUGACGGUAACUACUCAGAAAGGGACGGCUAACUACGUG
RNAcentral lists this ribosomal RNA (497 nucleotides) under uncultured bacterium. Its description in RNAcentral is "partial 16S ribosomal RNA". It matches the Rfam family "Bacterial small subunit ribosomal RNA", at positions 28 to 507 of the family's 1533-position model. The record is from RNAcentral.